Molecule: ribosomal RNA, 733 nt
Filed under: uncultured bacterium
Lineage: Bacteria
Description: bacterial SSU rRNA
Rfam family: Bacterial small subunit ribosomal RNA
Source: RNAcentral
GGCGGCGGACGGGUGAGUAAUGCCUAGGAAUCUGCCUGGUAGUGGGGGGUAACGUUCGGAAACGGACGCUAAUACCGCAUACGUCCUACGGGAGAAAGCAGGGGACCUUCGGGCCUUGCGCUAUCAGAUGAGCCUAGGUCGGAUUAGCUAGUUGGUGGGGUAAUGGCUCACCAAGGCGACGAUCCGUAACUGGUCUGAGAGGAUGAUCAGUCACACUGGAACUGAGACACGGUCCAGACUCCUACGGGAGGCAGCAGUGGGGAAUAUUGGACAAUGGGCGAAAGCCUGAUCCAGCCAUGCCGCGUGUGUGAAGAAGGUCUUCGGAUUGUAAAGCACUUUAAGUUGGGAGGAAGGGCAGUAAAUUAAUACUUUGCUGUUUUGACGUUACCAACAGAAUAAGCACCGGCUAACUCUGUGCCAGCAGCCGCGGUAAUACAGAGGGUGCAAGCGUUAAUCGGAAUUACUGGGCGUAAAGCGCGCGUAGGUGGUUCGUUAAGUUGGAUGUGGAAUCCCCGGGCUCAACCUGGGAACUGCAUUCAAAACUGACGAGCUAGAGUAUGGUAGAGGGUGGUGGAAUUUCCUGUGUAGCGGUGAAAUGCGUAGAUAUAGGAAGGAACACCAGUGGCGAAGGCGACCACCUGGACUGAUACUGACACUGAGGUGCGAAAGCGUGUGGAGCAAACAGGAUUAGAUACCCUGGUAGUCCACGCCGUAAACGAUGUCAACUAGCCGU